GCCGAGGUGGCGGAACUGGUAUACGCGCAUGCUUGAGGUGCAUGUGGAGGCAGCUCCUUGCAGGUUCAAGUCCUGUCCUCGGCA
Molecule: transfer RNA, 84 nt
Filed under: Parcubacteria group bacterium
Lineage: Bacteria
Description: tRNA-Leu
Rfam family: tRNA
About the family: Transfer RNA (tRNA) molecules are approximately 80 nucleotides in length.
Source: RNAcentral